RNAcentral lists this unclassified non-coding RNA (330 nucleotides) under Hevea brasiliensis (rubber tree). Lineage: Eukaryota; Viridiplantae; Streptophyta; Magnoliopsida; Malpighiales; Euphorbiaceae. The record is from RNAcentral.
UGCAACUGGUGAAAUAACCAAUGAUGACAUAAAUCAAUUGUACGUGAUUCAGAAGCCAGUUUGCCAAGGCUGCCGUGUGAACACUAAAGAUAAUCCCAAUUGCUUUUGUGGGCUGAUACCACCACCCAAUGGGAGUCGGAAAUCUGGCUUAUGGCAGAAAUUAUCAGAUAUUGUUCAAGCCCUUGGUCCAGACCCAUGCAAAGAUCUUCGUGCUUCUGCUGAUUCACCUGCUGGGCUCACAAAUCUGGGAGCAACAUGCUACGCCAACAGCAUACUUCAAUAUCUUUACAUGAAUACAUCUUUCCGAGAAGGUGUUUUCUCUGUCGAGCC